This 254-nucleotide ribosomal RNA is filed under the name uncultured bacterium. RNAcentral describes it as "partial 16S ribosomal RNA". It matches the Rfam family "Bacterial small subunit ribosomal RNA", at positions 524 to 776 of the family's 1533-position model. The record is from RNAcentral.
UACAGAGGUCUCAAGCGUUGUUCGGAUUCAUUGGGCGUAAAGAGCUCGUAGGCGGCUUGUUGCGUCGACUGUGAAAACCCGUGGCUCAACCAUGUGGUCUGCAGUCGAUACGGGCAGGCUAGAAUUCGGUAGGGGAGACUGGAAUUCCUGGUGUAGCGGUGAAAUGCGCAGAUAUCAGGAGGAACACCGGUGGCGAAGGCGGGUCUCUGGACAGUUCCUGACACUGAGACACGAAGGCCAGGGGAGCAAACGGG